Molecule: ribosomal RNA, 605 nt
Filed under: Meyerozyma caribbica
Lineage: Eukaryota; Fungi; Ascomycota; Pichiomycetes; Serinales; Debaryomycetaceae
Description: LSU rRNA
Rfam family: Eukaryotic large subunit ribosomal RNA
Source: RNAcentral
AGCGGAGGAAAAGAAACCAACAGGGAUUGCCUUAGUAGCGGCGAGUGAAGCGGCAAAAGCUCAAAUUUGAAAUCUGGCACCUUCGGUGUCCGAGUUGUAAUUUGAAGAUUGUAACCUUGGGGUUGGCUCUUGUCUAUGUUUCUUGGAACAGGACGUCACAGAGGGUGAGAAUCCCGUGCGAUGAGAUGCCCAAUCCUAUGUAAGGUGCUUUCGAAGAGUCGAGUUGUUUGGGAAUGCAGCUCUAAGUGGGUGGUAAAUUCCAUCUAAAGCUAAAUAUUGGCGAGAGACCGAUAGCGAACAAGUACAGUGAUGGAAAGAUGAAAAGAACUUUGAAAAGAGAGUGAAAAAGUACGUGAAAUUGUUGAAAGGGAAGGGUUUGAGAUCAGACUCGAUAUUUUGUGAGCCUUGCCUUCGUGGCGGGGUGACCCGCAGCUUAUCGGGCCAGCAUCGGUUUGGGCGGUAGGAUAAUGGCGUAGGAAUGUGACUUUGCUUCGGUGAAGUGUUAUAGCCUGCGUUGAUGCUGCCUGCCUAGACCGAGGACUGCGAUUUUAUCAAGGAUGCUGGCAUAACUGAUCCCAAACCGCCCGUCUUGAAACCACGGACCA